RNAcentral lists this transfer RNA (80 nucleotides) under Cotesia glomerata. RNAcentral describes it as "tRNA-Ile". It matches the Rfam family "tRNA". From Rfam's summary of the family: Transfer RNA (tRNA) molecules are approximately 80 nucleotides in length. Lineage: Eukaryota; Metazoa; Arthropoda; Insecta; Hymenoptera; Braconidae. The record is from RNAcentral.
GGCCCGGUAGCUUAACUGGUAGAGCUCCUGACAUAUAUGUUAUCAGGGAGAUCCAGGUUCGAUUCCUGGCUUGGCAACCA